Molecule: unclassified non-coding RNA, 1311 nt
Filed under: Octopus sinensis (East Asian common octopus)
Lineage: Eukaryota; Metazoa; Mollusca; Cephalopoda; Octopoda; Octopodidae
Description: hydroxysteroid 11-beta-dehydrogenase 1-like protein, transcript variant X3
Source: RNAcentral
UUUACUUCAUCAAUCCCCAUUGUUUACAAAGAAGAUCUGGGAAAAUCAGUGCCAAUUUAUCGAACCCCUUCUCUUCCAGCCAAUACUCACAACUACCACUUUUCUACUUUCUGCUACUAUCUCUACUACACUGGCUUUGCAAAGUUUUCUUAUAAGCUCUCUUCAUUAAUUGAAACACUUAUAAUUGAUAAGCAUUCUGUUUAAUAACUAUAAUUUUUCGCCAGGAAAUAACUGAUUGGAGAAGAAAGCCAAGUUUUUUGUUAAUUCAGAAGUUGAAAGUAACCUGCUAACUAUGUGGCUGAAACUGGUGGCUGUUGGUGUGGUGGCCUACAUUAUUUACCAGAUGAAUGAUAUGUUUGAUCUCAAUGACUUGAAAGGUAAACGAGUUGUGUUAACCGGAGCAUCAACAGGUAUAGGAGAACAGAUGGCUUACCACUAUGCAAACAACAAGGCCAAUCUUCUUAUAACAGCACGAAGAACCAAUGUACUUCAGAAGGUUAUAGAUCGCUGCAAAUCUCUUGGUGAUCCAAAUGGGAACUAUAACUACAUCACAGCAGACAUGGGAAAUCUAUCAGCCACAGAGAAUGUGAUUAAGGAAGCUGAAGAGAAAAUGGGAGGUAUUGAUUUCCUGGUUUUGAAUCACAUCAAAGAAAUAUCUUUAGGUGAAUGGAGUGGGUCUACUGAUAACCUAACAUUGCUCUCCAAUCUCUUUGAUAUCAACUUCAAAGCAUAUGUACACCUGGCUUCCUAUGCUUUGCCCUUACUUGAGAAAAGUGGUGGAAGCAUUAUUGUUGUUUCAUCUAUUGCAGGAAAAUUGGCUCAACCCUAUCUUUCGGUUUAUUCUGCCACUAAAUUUGCUCUUGAUGGAUUCUUCAGUGGAUUACGCAUGGAAUUAGAAUUGAAGAAAUGUAAUGUUUCAGUGACAUUGUGUGUCAUUGGUCUCAUUGGAACUGAAAAUGCUGUUUCCAAGUUGAAGGAGUUUGGAAGAGGAACUGUUCUGGAUCUGGUCAAACCUGCCCGACCAGAGGAUGCUGCUAUGGCCAUCAUAAAAGGAGGAGCUCUGCGUCAACGAGAAAUAUAUUUUCCCUACUUUUCUGCUAAGUUAUAUACAGUCUUUAGAGAUUUGUUUCGGGGUCUUCUAGAAAGUUCCAUAAAAUUUAUGUAUCAGUGAAAAUAUCUUAUUUGUUAUAGCUUGAUUUACUGGCUUUGUUUGCUGCCGUUGCCUGUAAGUCUCCUUAUUCUGUGUGUGUGUGUGAUGUGUGUGUGUGUGUGUGUGUGUGUGUGUGUGUGUGUGUGUGUGUGUGUGUGUGU